UACGUAGGGUGCAAGCGUUGUCCGGAAUUAUUGGGCGUAAAGAGCUCGUAGGCGGUCUGUUGCGUCGGCUGUGAAAACCCGGAGCUCAACUCCGGGCCUGCAGUCGAUACGGGCAGACUGGAGUUCGGCAGGGGAGACUGGAAUUCCUGGUGUAGCGGUGAAAUGCGCAGAUAUCAGGAGGAACACCAAUGGCGAAGGCAGCUCACUGGGACGGUAUUGACGCUGAGACGCGAAAGCGUGGGGAGCAAACAGG
Molecule: ribosomal RNA, 253 nt
Filed under: uncultured bacterium
Lineage: Bacteria
Description: partial 16S ribosomal RNA
Rfam family: Bacterial small subunit ribosomal RNA
Source: RNAcentral